RNAcentral lists this ribosomal RNA (497 nucleotides) under uncultured bacterium. RNAcentral describes it as "partial 16S ribosomal RNA". It matches the Rfam family "Bacterial small subunit ribosomal RNA", at positions 28 to 507 of the family's 1533-position model. The record is from RNAcentral.
GAUGAACGCUGGCGGCGUGCCUAAUACAUGCAAGUCGAGCGAACGGACGAGAAGCUUGCUUUUCUGAUGUUAGCGGCGGACGGGUGAGUAACACGUGGAUAUCCUACCUAUAAGACUGGGAUAACUUCGGGAAACCGGAGCUAAUACCGGAUAAUAUUUUGAACCGCAUGGUUCAAAAGUGAAAGCCGGUCUUGCUGUCACUUAUAGAUGGAUCCGCGCUGCAUUAGCUAGUUGGUAAGGUAACGGCUUACCAAGGCAACGAUGCAUAGCCGACCUGAGAGGGUGAUCGGCCACACUGGAACUGAGACACGGUCCAGACUCCUACGGGAGGCAGCAGUAGGAAAUCUUCCGCAAUGGGCGAAAGCCUAACGGAGCAACGCCGCGUGGGUGAUGAAGGUCUUCGGAUCGUAAAACUCUGUUAUUAGGGAAGAACAUAUGUGUAAGUAACUGUGCACAUCUUGACGGUACCUAAUCAGAAAGCCACGGCUAACUACGUG